UAAGGAAUAUUGGACAAUGGAGGCAACUCUGAUUCAGCCAUGCCGCGUGAAGGAAUAAGGCCCUAUGGGUUGUAAACUUCUUUUAGACGGGACAAAACCCCUUUACGUGUAAAAGGUUGAUGGUACUGUCAGAAUAAGCAUCGGCUAACUUCGUGCCAGCAGCCGCGGUAAUACGAAGGGGGCUAGCGUUGUUCGGAAUUACUGGGCGUAAAGCGCACGUAGGCGGAUCGAUCAGUUAGGGGUGAAAUCCCGGGGCUCAACCCCGGAACUGCCUCUAAUACUGUCGAUCUGGAGUUCGAGAGAGNUGAGUGGAAUUCCGAGUGUAGAGGUGAAAUUCGUAGAUAUUCGGAGGAACACCAGUGGCGAAGGCGGCUCACUGGCUCGAUACUGACGCUGAGGUGCGAAAGCGUGGGGAGCAAACA
This 422-nucleotide ribosomal RNA is filed under the name uncultured bacterium. RNAcentral describes it as "bacterial SSU rRNA". It matches the Rfam family "Bacterial small subunit ribosomal RNA", at positions 355 to 774 of the family's 1533-position model. The record is from RNAcentral.